This 759-nucleotide ribosomal RNA is filed under the name uncultured Neisseria sp. RNAcentral's name for it is "bacterial SSU rRNA". It matches the Rfam family "Bacterial small subunit ribosomal RNA", at positions 28 to 776 of the family's 1533-position model. Lineage: Bacteria; Pseudomonadati; Pseudomonadota; Betaproteobacteria; Neisseriales; Neisseriaceae. The record is from RNAcentral.
AUUGAACGCUGGCGGCAUGCUUUACACAUGCAAGUCGGACGGCAGCACAGAGAAGCUUGCUUCUUGGGUGGCGAGUGGCGAACGGGUGAGUAACAUAUCGGAACGUACCGAGCAGUGGGGGAUAACUAAUCGAAAGAUUAGCUAAUACCGCAUAUCUUCUGAGGAAGAAAGCAGGGGACCAUUUGGCCUUGCGCUGUUUGAGCGGCCGAUAUCUGAUUAGCUAGUUGGUGGGGUAAAGGCCUACCAAGGCGACGAUCAGUAGCGGGUCUGAGAGGAUGAUCCGCCACACUGGGACUGAGACACGGCCCAGACUCCUACGGGAGGCAGCAGUGGGGAAUUUUGGACAAUGGGCGAAAGCCUGAUCCAGCCAUGCCGCGUGUCUGAAGAAGGCCUUCGGGUUGUAAAGGACUUUUGUCAGGGAAGAAAAGGGCGGGGUUAAUACCCCUGUCUGAUGACGGUACCUGAAGAAUAAGCACCGGCUAACUACGUGCCAGCAGCCGCGGUAAUACGUAGGGUGCGAGCGUUAAUCGGAAUUACUGGGCGUAAAGCGGGCGCAGACGGUUACUUAAGCAGGAUGUGAAACCCCCGGGCUCAACCUGGGAACUGCGUUCUGAACUGGGUGACUAGAGUGUGUCAGAGGGAGGUAGAACUCCACGUGUAGCAGUGAAAUGCGUAGAGAUGUGGAGGAAUACCGAUGGCGAAGGCAGCCUCCUGGGAUAACACUGACGUUCAUGCCCGAAAGCGUGGGUAGCAAACAGG